AAUAGAUACCCUGGUAGUCCACGCCGUAAACGAUGAGUGCUAAGUGUUAGAGGGUUUCCGCCCUUUAGUGCUGCAGCUAGCGCAUUAAGCACUCCGCCUGGGGAGUACGGCCGCAAGGCUGAAACUCAAAGGAAUUGACGGGGGCCCGCACAAGCGGUGGAGCAUGUGGUUUAAUUCGAAGCAACGCGAAGAACCUUACCAGGUCUUGACAUCCUCUGCCAACCCUAGAGAUAGGGCGUUCCCCUUCGGGGGACAGAGUGACAGGUGGUGCAUGGUUGUCGUCAGCUCGUGUCGUGAGAUGUUGGGUUAAGUCCCGCAACGAGCGCAACCCUUGAUCUUAGUUGCCAGCAUUCAGUUGGGCACUCUAAGGUGACUGCCGGUGACAAACCGGAGGAAGGUGGGGAUGACGUCAAAUCAUCAUGCCCCUUAUGACCUGGGCUACACACGUGCUACAAUGGAUGGUACAAAGAGCUGCGAACCCGCGAGGGUAAGCGAAUCUCAUAAAGCCAUUCUCAGUUCGGAUUGU
RNAcentral lists this ribosomal RNA (526 nucleotides) under uncultured bacterium. RNAcentral's name for it is "bacterial SSU rRNA". It matches the Rfam family "Bacterial small subunit ribosomal RNA", at positions 777 to 1301 of the family's 1533-position model. The record is from RNAcentral.